Molecule: ribosomal RNA, 456 nt
Filed under: uncultured bacterium
Lineage: Bacteria
Description: bacterial SSU rRNA
Rfam family: Bacterial small subunit ribosomal RNA
Source: RNAcentral
UACGGAAGGCAGCAGUGGGGAAUAUUGCACAAUGGGCGAAAGCCUGAUGCAGCUAUGCCGCGUGUAUGAAGAAGGCCUUAGGGUUGUAAAGUACUUUCAUCGGGGAGGAAAAACAAAACUAAUAAUUUUAUUUCUUGACGUUACCCGAAAAAGAAGCACCGGCUAACUCCGUGCCAGCAGCCGCGGUAAUACGGAGGGUGCUAGCGUUAAUCAGAAUUACUGGGCGUAAAGAGCACGUAGGUGGUUUUUUUAAAGUCAGAUGUGAAAUCCCUGGGCUUAACCUAGGAACUGCAUUUUGAAACUGAAAUACUAGAGUAUCGUAGAGGGAGGUAGAAUUCUGGGUGUAGCGGUGAAAUGCGUAGAUAUCUGGAGGAAUACCUGUGGCGAAAGCGGCCUCCUAAACGAAUACUGACACUGAGGUGCGAAAGCGUGGGGAGCAAACAGGGAUUAGAUACC